CCACAGCACAUGUGACUUUAGCAGGAGGACAUCCGUCUUUAAACGACUCGCUGUUUCCAUUCCUCCGUCCUAGCAACAGAGCCCGGUGUCGAAUUGCCGCAGCCGGAGUUAGAACAGCUGCCCUGGGGAUCUUGCCGGACAGCGAGCUGACUGCCGUUCACAGCAAUCUCUGGUCUUUCCCACCCCAAACAUACACAAAGGAUUCUUGUCGUUCUUGGCACCGGGCACCGAAGGAGCCAGGCAUGCCAGCAGAGCCGACAGCGGAAUGUCCUUCCACCUGUUCUGUGCUGUAAGACAGACUUCCAAGGGUGAGGCGGCUCGGCGGGCCGUGGCCUUGAGUGGCAGCUGAAGGCACCGGCAGGGUGCCUGGCAGCGAUGCCCGCGCGGAGGCCAGGCUUUUGGGAGGGCUGAAUGGGGAAGAAACUCGAGCACUGCUUCCUGGAACACUGCGAGCCUGAGUGAGGCGUUGAGAGGUACCAGACUCUCUCUUCUGACAGCAGCCAAGGAAAUACUAACGCUGUUGUCGCUUUGUUAUGCUCUUGCUGGGGAACACUCCCCCGUCCUAAAGGGCCAGCUCCACGCCAAGAUCGAACAAGGCAUGGCUCGGAGAUUCAUUUAAGGGGACGAGGGACUCACCCUAAGUCUCGAGACAGUUUCUUAGGCAGGGGGAGCCUGAAGCAGGAGUGACUGCCACCCAUGGCAUCAAGGAGGCGAGCAAACAGCCAGAGCCCCGGGAAGGUCGCAGCUUCGCUAACUGCAUGCCUUUGGAGCCCACUGGGGUGCCAGUUUCACGGAGUCCUAGCAGUGAGGAAUGUAAGGACAGGGGUCUGGGGCCCGGGGUGGAGAGGGCGACAGAUCCUCCAGUUCUUUUCAGUUUUUCACGAAGCUAAAAAGUAAUUGUUUACUCAGAAUACAGCCCGGAGGGUGACUCUGGUUAGAAAAAAUAAAUCUCAGGUCCUUCAUUCUCUCCUGGGAAGCUAAGUCCAUUAUUAUUUUAACAAAGAUGUUUGUUUAUGAAUGAAUCUUUCAAAGCCGUGAUUCUGUGGGAGAAAUCAUUUUAAAUGGAGUUUGCAAUGGCGCUGAGAUUAGAACUGCCCUAAAGACAAGGAUUUAAGCAUGUCAUUUUCAAGCUGUUUUCAUUUCAAACUUUCUUCUUUUUCUUAGAGAGACUUUUUGCAAUAGGGUACAUGUGCUCCCCCAAGAGACAGAGAGAGACACUGAGACAGAAAACGAAAAAUAACCCCCACGGGGAGGAAGAUCGCCCUGCACCCCGUCUCCUCCGGUCUCCUCUCCGGAUUCUGGACGCGUGCACCUGGUGUGAGUUUCACGCUGCCGGGCCGGGGACUCGAACUGUGGUCAACUAUGUGGGAGUCCAACAACAUAGCCAUUACAUCAUCUGCUGACCCACUUUAAGAACACCUUUACGGAGAGUGGCUAGAAGCUCACUUCCCAGUAGGAGGCACCUCCAAUGCAAGGGCAGUACCCGGUUUAGAAGAGUGGAGAUGCAGCCUCACUGCUGCAGGCCCACCGAGCCUCCCGCCCCGGGGCCUGUCCCUACAGGCCCCAGACCCUGCUGCGUUGCCAGGACUGCAAGGAUACGGCUGAAAUCCAGAGAGAGAUUUCUCUCUCACUGGAGCCAAGGCGGCUUCUCGGGUUUGGGGAUUCUUGAGAGACUCCUGAAGUAGAGGCAGAACGCGCACGUGGUUCUCCCUGGAUCCGCAGGACGCGCACGUGGCUCUCCCUGGAUCUGAGACAUGUUAGCAAUGGUGUUCAUUACGAGCCCGCCUCUUUCCCAGGAGCAGGAGAGUCCAUGCUUUGAGCUACACCAACGUGCAUUCACUCACCCCCUGGCAGUGCCUGAGCCCUUCCCAGCCCGGCCGUGCUAAGUGCUGGGCUUGCAAAGACCAGUCAGACGUCAGAUCUGGUGACAACGGCCACAGGCGGCCCCUCAGGGUGGACGGCAGCGCCUGCCCAUCACCACAGCGCCCUUCUUUGGCUCUACCCACGGCACAAGCAUGUCUGGCAGGAGGCCCUCAGGGGCUAGGAAGGGAGGCCCCAUCUCUCCCGGAGCAGGGAGGAGUCCGCGUGUCCAGAAGGAGCUGUCUGCUGGCUGGUCCUAGGGCCAGGGACUCAGCAGCUCCACUCACACCCAGGACCCCCAUUCUUCGGGACUUUCCAUCUCAGUGUCCUCAGCAUGUCAUCAGCCUUGUCCCCACACUCCCGCUAUGGCUGCUGGACACUGCUGGCAGGACAUGUCCCCUGCAGGUGCAGUGAGUGGCUGGAAACUCACAGCAGUCACACACACGUGCACGCCACAAUCCCAGGGGAGAAGAGAGGAGAGGUACU
Tupaia belangeri chinensis (Chinese tree shrew) is the source of this 2346-nucleotide long non-coding RNA. RefSeq lists it as uncharacterized. The transcript is spliced from 3 exons. Lineage: Eukaryota; Metazoa; Chordata; Mammalia; Scandentia; Tupaiidae. The record is from RefSeq and is a predicted model, not a curated record.